This 1046-nucleotide long non-coding RNA is filed under the name Capra hircus (goat). Its description in RNAcentral is "lncRNA (ENSCHIG00000001524.1)". Lineage: Eukaryota; Metazoa; Chordata; Mammalia; Artiodactyla; Bovidae. The record is from RNAcentral.
AGCCAAACUGCUUGGGUUCCAACCCCCUCCUGCCACUUAGUAUCCACGUGACAGUCACGUCACUUCUCAGCCUCCCAGGGCUAAAAGACACAACAGAUGCGGUGAGCCAAGCACAGGGGAAGGUACAGGGAGCCUUCCCCACGUAUUAGCCGUUCCUUUUCUGAUGUUUCCUUAUUGCUGCUGUAAUAAGAAGUCAGUGCCUUAAAAUGACACAAGCUUAGGAUCUUACACAAGCUUUGGAGAAGGAAAUGGAACCCCACUCCGGAACUCUUCCCUGGAAAAAUCUCAUGGAUGGUGGAGCCUGAUAGGCUAUAGUCCAUGGGGUUGCAAAGAGUCAGACACAACUGAGCGACUUCACUUCACUUGAGGAUCUUACAGUUUAUGAACUUGAGGGCUCCAUGGAGGCUCGCCCGUUGUGGACCAAGCAUCUUGGUAACACCUGCGAUUAUUAGUACUGAUCACAAAGUCACCACUUGACUUCCUUUGUAUAGGUUCCAUUCUAUCCUCUGUCUGCAACAAGGAAAAGAAAUUAUAAGAAGUGAUAUGACAGGACCCCCAGCCAUGAGUGAAGGGGAUUUCCCUGAUGGCUCUAUGCUAUGUUUAGCUGCAUCCGACUCUUUGCAACCCCAUGGACUACAGCCUGCCAGACUCCUCUAUUCAUGGGUUUUUCCAGGCAAGAAUACUGAAGCGGGUUGCCAUUUUCUUCUCCAGGACAUCUUCCCGACCCAGGGAUCAAAAUUGUGUCUCUUGAGUCUUCUGUAUUGGCACAGAUUCCUUGUCACUGCCCUCAUGGCUCAGUGAUAAAGAACCCACCUGCCGAUGCAGGAGACACGUGUUCGAUUCCUGGUCUGGGAAGAUUCCAGUUGCCCCAGAGCAAUAAGCGUGUGCAGCACAUAUACUGAGCCCAUGCUCUAGAUCCUGGAGCUGCAACUGCUGAAGCCUGCCUGCCCAAGAGCCUGAGCUCCGCAACACAGAGGCCAGCACAAUGAGAAGCCCGCACACUGCAGCUAGAGAGUAACCCUGCACUCUGUAACUAGAGAAAAGCC